Carya illinoinensis is the source of this 522-nucleotide long non-coding RNA. RefSeq lists it as uncharacterized. The record is from RefSeq and is a predicted model, not a curated record. The transcript has 5 exons. Lineage: Eukaryota; Viridiplantae; Streptophyta; Magnoliopsida; Fagales; Juglandaceae.
AGAUAUAUUCGCAUGAAUUCAUUCUACUAAUUCCCUGUUAGCUACGCCCGUCGAUUCGGCUGUAUACAAAAGCCUAAGUCUGUGCAUGCCUCCAUCUUGGAUUUCCGAGUUAUUUAAUUUGGGCGUCUGAGGUAUCGGCCAGAAUUUUCUACCUAGGAUUAGCGGGUGAAUCUGUUUCAUGCACCACAGGCCGGUUCCUUGCUGAGCUGACAAAGCAAGUGUUUGCUGAUCUUGCUUGUAUUAACUAUCAGUUUCCACUGCAGCUCCUACUUGAUAUGAAGUUGGGCUGAACUAUCUUGAACAACAGCCCCAGUGUGGGCUUAUAUUGGACUGGUCAUCAUUUGAAAUCAUCUGCUGUAUUACUGAUUGGAACUUGACGUUGGAAAAAUGCUGGAGUAGGAAAUCUUAGUCAAUCUUGAACCUAGUUGGCUACGUCUUCCAAUGUGGCCACAACUAGGCAUCAAAGUGGUUGUGCCUCAUAUGUGUUGGGGACAAUUUGGUGAUGCUGGUGGGAGCCCUCCG